Long non-coding RNA from Canis lupus familiaris (dog), 3220 nucleotides. RefSeq lists it as uncharacterized. The transcript is spliced from 4 exons. NCBI's taxonomy places the organism in Eukaryota, Metazoa, Chordata, Mammalia, Carnivora, Canidae. The record is from RefSeq and is a predicted model, not a curated record.
CCGGCGGUCCCGGCGCCGCGUCCUGCUCGUGUCGCUGCCGUGACCCGACGAAGCAGCUGCGCGUCGUCCAGCAGGGCCACGUCGUGCUCAGGGACGAAACCGUCUGUUAGGCAAAAUGAAGAAGCAGGUUCUGGCAUCAUGAUUCCCUCCCCACGGGGACCCUCCAAAGACAUCGAAGAAGCCCAGGGUGACUGAACUCAGUUUAGACCCAGGGACGAAGAGGACUCCAGGAAUUCUUGAGAGCAGGAUGGAGUUGGCACGGAAGCAUAACAAACAGCAAACUACAAAACAGACUGAAGUACCCGGGAAGCUUCACCUGUAAGUAGCACCGGAAUGAGACUUGCUGGUUAGUGUGUCCUUCUGCUGCCUUUAGAAAACAGGUUGGAAGGUGUGUCCCUGCAAACUCCCCUGGGGGGAAGGGGGCUAAGUUCCCAGAGUCCCUGCCAUCACACAUGGAGGCAGAAAACUAGCCCCCACCCAGCCCUCACCCAGCUCCAUAACCAGCUCACUCUUUUCUAGAAAAACAAGAGACUUUUUUUUUAAUAGGCAAAAGAUCGAUUCAGAGAUGAAAAUGAGAUAUCUUCCUAUGUAAUGUCAUUGGGUCUUGUUUCUAGAAUUUGAAAAGGGCAAGCCAAGGCAUGGCUUGAUGGAUACUGUAGGCCCACAGACCCUAGAAAUGAUGGAGAACCUCUGAGGACCUAAGGUCUGCCCAGAAAGAAAUAUAAGCAGUAGGAGGCAGUUGAAAACCACAAACCCACAUCAGGAGCCAGAAAGCUGGAAUCCAAAUGGAAGCCGGCUCCAGGAAGCUGGAUGUCUGUACGGCCAAACAGAAAGCACAGAGGGCUGAAGUUACAACGGUGCCUUGGACUUAGAUGGUCAGGUUACUUGACCCAUCUGAUGACUGACUCACAGCCGGGAAGUGAUGAGUCUGAGAAGCAAAUCCAGGCUUUUCAUCGCCAAAUCUUGUUGUCUUUCCGAACUUUAGAGUAUACCAGUGUCUGUGGUCUGUUAAAAAAAAAUGCCAAGGAUUUUUUUUUCUUCACAAAUUUAUUUAAAGUAGAUGUGUAAGAAAAAUACUAAAAUAUUUCUAUCACUGCUAUGCAACAAUCUGCUUAAGAAAUUGCGUGCAUUCCCAAACUUUCUGCAAGUGCGCUGUGAGAAUUCUAUAGGAGCUCUAUGGGGAAAAAAAAAAACUCAAUCCUGGUAGCAUGUCUUCCUUUUAAAACUCAUUUAAAAUCAUAUACGUAAAAAAUUACUAUUUAUACCAAUGCCUUCCUUUUCUGCAAUAAUCUACUUUUAAGAUUUUACUCCAAGCACCCAUGGGUGAUUUUUAACUCUAUCUUUCAAAAUAAAAUUAAAAGGCCCUCAUUUCUUUUCACUCUUAAUUAAGAUUAUUGAGUUCAAUUUUAAGGUAAAAAUAGGGGCAGGGUAUGAUGUAGGUAGGUAUCAGGAUCUGAGCUCUGACAAUCCUAACCCCAACUCCAAACUCCACAUUGAGCCACGUUCCAAUAAAAGCUGGAUGUGGAAACCUAAGUAGGUAUCAAAUACCCUACCCCUACAUGUCAUACCAACUCUGUUAGAAGCUUUGAUUUCUCUAGAGUUUUUUUUUCCAGUGACUUCCAAGCAUCAAGUAUUUACGGAUGCAUUGUUUGGGAAGUUCAAACUCUCAGAGCAGAGGACUCAAACACCUUUACAACCUGGCCCCAAUCUCUGUCAGCAUUUCAAAUUUCAAGGAUUUUGCCACUCUCCACCCUUCCCCACCCAGGACCAAAGCCAACUCCCUUAGGAUCAAAACACGUUCUGCACUUUCUCUGUAACCUUUGCACCUGCUUGUCCGUGUGCUUGGAAUACCCUUGAAGCUCACCCAACUGUACAGCUCAGCUCAAGAUCUUCAUAAUCCUUGUAAAAAUCAGUCAUAGUUUUCUUCUGGGUCUCCAGAGCUUUUGUCUCUUCAGAGCACAGGCUUGGGAGCCAGACCGACUGGGUUCAAAUGCUGACUUCACACACAACUCAUUAGCGAUGUGGUCUUAAAGAAAUUAACGAGCAUCUCUAGGCCUCAGUUCUUCAGCUGUAAAGUAGGGUUAAUAAUAACACCUAUUUCAUGGAAGUGUCAGGAAGAAUGAAUAAAUUACUAUGUAUAAAGUACUAACAAUAGUGCCUGGCACAUAAUUGGUGCUCUACAAAUGAUUAUUAAAAUUAUUAUUAUUGUGAGUCUGUUGUAGCAUUUUUAACAGCCUAACUUACAUUACAUUUAUGGCUCUCUGUCUAAUUAGAUUAUAAUUCCUAAAGGACAGAAACCAUAUCUGUUUAAUUCAUUAUUCUUUAUCUAGCACUUAACACUGUGUCUGGGACAUAGCAAAUAUUUCUUAGAUAAAUGAAUGUCUCCCCAUUAAAUUGUGAUUUCCUUGACACCAAGGACUCAUAUGCUCAGAGCAUUUCUUCAUUACUUCGUUUCUCUACGCCCAGAACCUAACACAAUACUGGCACCUUGGCAGCACUCAGUGUAUAUUGGCAAAAAUAAAGCAAGAGAAAGAGAGGUUUUAUCCCAAACCAUAUAUUCUCUUUUUUGAGAGUUUAUGGAGACAUGACUAGCACACUAGAGCUGCCGUCCAAAAUCUAACUUAGGUCUGACCGCUUUAUCUUAUAGUAAAGUGGAGUCCCCCAAGGCACUUAUGGAGAAGCCAAGAGAAAAGCAAAGGGGUUUGCUGAGCAAUCAAGCACCCUCCAGAAAAUGGAGACCAUCGUACUGCCCAGGAUUCUAUCCCUGCCAAGAAACAGAGAGCUAGAAUAAGGGCAAGAGAAGGGAUAGUUGGCAAAGAUCCAAUUCUGACUUUGCUACAAGGGAAAGAUGGAAGAGUCCUAGCUACAGUUAAAACAUGCCCCCCAAUGGGGUAACUGGGUGAUGGGCUUUAAGGAGGGCAUGUGAUGUAAUGAGCACUGGGUAUCAUAUAAGUGAUGAAUCGCUGACCUCCAUCUCUGAAAUCAAUAAUACAUUAUAUGUUAAUUAAUUAAAUUUAAAUUAAAAAGUAAACAUUUUUAAAAAUUUAAAAAUUACAAAACUGUGCCCCCAGGGCUGCAGAAAAGCUAAGAAUAGUUUCUCCAAACAGGUAGUUUAGGGACACCUGGAUGGCUCAGCGGUUGAGCAUCUGCCAUUAGCUCAGGGCGUGAACCUGGGUCCAGGGAUCAAGUCCUACAUUGGGCUCCCCAUAAGGAGCCUGCU